RNAcentral lists this ribosomal RNA (253 nucleotides) under uncultured bacterium. RNAcentral describes it as "partial 16S ribosomal RNA". It matches the Rfam family "Bacterial small subunit ribosomal RNA", at positions 524 to 776 of the family's 1533-position model. The record is from RNAcentral.
UACAGAGGGGGCAAGCGUUAUUCGGAAUUAUUGGGCGUAAAGGGCGCGUAGGCGGCGAUUCAAGUGGCGGGUGAAAUCCCUCGGCUUAACCGAGGAACUGCCUGCCAGACUGGAUUGCUUGAGUUCGGGAGAGGUGAGUGGAAUUCCCAGUGUAGCGGUGAAAUGCGUAGAUAUUGGGAGGAACACCAGUGGCGAAGGCGGCUCACUGGACCGGAACUGACGCUGAGGCGCGAAAGCGUGGGGAGCAAACAGG